AAACAUGUCGAAAGAAGCUGGAUGUGUUCCUCGUGUUGAUGGCAUUGGAUCGUGUGGUGACAUUUCGGUUUACCUUAAUUUUAAUUUCGUCAUUUGCUGGCCCUUGCAAAUGAAAAUCCUUUCUUGGAGAAUUUACUUGUCUCUUCGAUAGUUUCAUAUCAAAAUAUUGGAAUAUGAUAUGCGGAUGUCAAUGAUUUUUUACGAUUACAUUUUUGAAACUUUUACAUAUCUGUCUACAAG
This 240-nucleotide long non-coding RNA is filed under the name Mytilus galloprovincialis (Mediterranean mussel). Lineage: Eukaryota; Metazoa; Mollusca; Bivalvia; Mytilida; Mytilidae. The record is from RNAcentral.